Molecule: ribosomal RNA, 494 nt
Filed under: uncultured bacterium
Lineage: Bacteria
Description: bacterial SSU rRNA
Rfam family: Bacterial small subunit ribosomal RNA
Source: RNAcentral
GUGGCGGACGGGUGAGUAACGCGUGGGUAACCUGCCUUACAGAGGGGGAUAACAGUUUGAAAAGACUGCUAAUACCGCAUAAGCGCACAGAGUCGCAUGACUCAGUGUGAAAAACUCCGGUGGUAUGAGAUGGACCCGCGUCUGAUUAGCCAGUUGGCAGGGUAACGGCCUACCAAAGCGACGAUCAGUAGCCGACCUGAGAGGGUGAUCGGCCACAUUGGGACUGAGACACGGCCCAGACUCCUACGGGAGGCAGCAGUAGGGAAUCUUCGGCAAUGGGGGCAACCCUGACCGAGCAACGCCGCGUGAGUGAAGAAGGUUUUCGGAUCGUAAAGCUCUGUUGUAAGAGAAGAACGUGUGUGAGAGUGGAAAAGUUCACACAGUGACGGUAACUUACCAGAAAGGGACGGCUAACUACGUGCCAGCAGCCGCGGUAAUACGUAGGUCCCGAGCGUUGUCCGGAUUUAUUGGGCGUAAAGCGAGCGCAGGCGGUU